GGGGAAUAUUGGACAAUGGGGGGAACCCUGAUCCAGCCAUGCCGCGUGUGUGAAGAAGGCCUUUUGGUUGUAAAGCACUUUAAGCGAGGAGGAGGCUCUUCUAGUUAAUACCUAGGAUGAGUGGACGUUACUCGCAGAAUAAGCACCGGCUAACUCUGUGCCAGCAGCCGCGGUAAUACAGAGGGUGCGAGCGUUAAUCGGAUUUACUGGGCGUAAAGCGUACGUAGGCGGCUUUUUAAGUCGGAUGUGAAAUCCCUGGGCUUAACUUAGGAAUUGCAUUCGAUACUGGGAAGCUAGAGUAUGGGAGAGGAUGGUAGAAUUCCAGGUGUAGCGGUGAAAUGCGUAGAGAUCUGGAGGAAUACCGAUGGCGAAGGCAGCCAUCUGGCCUAAUACUGACGCUGAGGUACGAAAGCAUGGGGAGCAAAC
RNAcentral lists this ribosomal RNA (426 nucleotides) under uncultured bacterium. RNAcentral describes it as "bacterial SSU rRNA". It matches the Rfam family "Bacterial small subunit ribosomal RNA", at positions 356 to 773 of the family's 1533-position model. The record is from RNAcentral.